GAUGAACGCUAGCGACAGGCCUAACACAUGCAAGGUCGAGGGGCAGCACAUGAGUAGCAAUACGAUGGUGGCGACCGGCGCACGGGUGAGUAACACGUAUGCAACCUGCCUUCUACUAUGGGAUAACCCGUUGAAAGACGGACUAAUACCGUAUAAUACAGGGGCUCCGCAUGGAGAUAUUUGUUAAAGAUUUAUUGGUAGAAGAUGGGCAUGCGUAUGAUUAGAUAGUUGGUGAGGUAACGGCUCACCAAGUCAACGAUCAUUAGGGGUUCUGAGAGGAAGGUCCCCCACACUGGUACUGAGACACGGACCAGACUCCUACGGGAGGCAGCAGUGAGGAAUAUUGGUCAAUGGGCGGAAGCCUGAACCAGCCAUCCCGCGUGAAGGAAGACAGCCUUACGGGUUGUAAACUUCUUUUCUGUUUGAAGAAUAAGCCCGUUGAGACGGGUGAUGCCGGUAGGACAGGAAUAAGCAUCGGCUAACUCCGUG
RNAcentral lists this ribosomal RNA (489 nucleotides) under uncultured bacterium. RNAcentral describes it as "bacterial SSU rRNA". It matches the Rfam family "Bacterial small subunit ribosomal RNA", at positions 28 to 507 of the family's 1533-position model. The record is from RNAcentral.